Molecule: unclassified non-coding RNA, 411 nt
Filed under: Hevea brasiliensis (rubber tree)
Lineage: Eukaryota; Viridiplantae; Streptophyta; Magnoliopsida; Malpighiales; Euphorbiaceae
Source: RNAcentral
UAUUUUGCAGAAAGAUGUUCCAUGAAUGACCGAACUUCCGAAGGGGACAAGUUGGUGCUGCCCAGUAACACUGAUCGUCGGAAGAUGAAGCCUGGACAACUUCUUGGUUCCACCUCAAAUACCCCACUGGUAGGAUACUCGGUACUCAUGGGCUCCAAAACCAAACUCCAUUCCAUGCACUUCGAUGCCGGAAUGGAAGAUCCCAAGGCCAAACCAGUAAAGGUAGUUAUUUACAGGCGUAAGAUCAUACACGUUUAGAUACAACCUCACGCGAUUGCUCCCUCCAUUACCCUGCUCCUUGUCCGAGCUUGAACUCGAACUGGCGCUCGAGCUCAACGGAAACAACCGCAUUGUUCCGCAAUCAACAGUCCUUCAAUUCCCGCCCCAAUUCUUUAUCAGAAGCUCACCAUC